Molecule: unclassified non-coding RNA, 309 nt
Filed under: uncultured Tricharina
Lineage: Eukaryota; Fungi; Ascomycota; Pezizomycetes; Pezizales; Pyronemataceae
Description: sequence contains ITS1
Rfam family: 5.8S ribosomal RNA (bases 1-105)
Source: RNAcentral
GAAAUGCGAUAAGUAGUGUGAAUUGCAGAAUUCAGUGAAUCAUCGAAUCUUUGAACGCACAUUGCGCCUCCUGGUAUUCCGGGAGGCAUGCCUGUUCGAGCGUCAUUAAAAUCAACUCAAGCUCUUUUGCUUGGUCAUGGAAGAAGAGUCUGCCCUGGCAGUCUCCCCUCCGAAAUUCAAUGGCGGAAGGUCCCUGGUAACCCGGCGUAGUAAAACAACGUUCGCUUUGUAUCCAGAGAUGUUCCUGCCCCACAAACCCCCUUUCUUGUGAUUGACCUCGGAUCAGGUAGGGAUACCCGCUGAACUUAA